Molecule: ribosomal RNA, 429 nt
Filed under: Gemmatimonadota bacterium
Lineage: Bacteria; Pseudomonadati; Gemmatimonadota
Description: Gemmatimonadetes bacterium partial 16S ribosomal RNA
Rfam family: Bacterial small subunit ribosomal RNA
Source: RNAcentral
UAGGGAAUCUUAGGCAAUGGACGAAAGUCUGACCGAGCAACGCCGCGUGAGUGAAGAAGGUUUUCGGAUCGUAAAACUCUGUUGUUAGAGAAGAACAAGGACGUUAGUAACUGAACGUCCCCUGACGGUAUCUAACCAGAAAGCCACGGCUAACUACGUGCCAGCAGCCGCGGUAUUACGUAGGUGGCAAGCGUUGUCCGGAGUUAUUGGGCGUAAAGCGAGCGCAGGCGGUUUCUUAAGUCUGAUGUGAAAGCCCCCGGCUCAACCGGGGAGGGUCAUUGGAAACUGGGAGACUUGAGUGCAGGAGAUGGUAGUGGAAUUCCAUGUGUAGCGGUGAAAUACGUAGAUAUAUGGAGGAACACCAGUGGCGAAGGCGGCUCUCUGGUCUGUAACUGACGCUGAGGCUCGAAAGCGUGGGGAGCAAACAGG